UUGCAUUUUUUUUUUUUGUAAUCUGAUUAACUAACAAGUGAUUUAGGGCAUGUAAAGUAUUAACAAAUAGCAUUAGACGGUCUUGACGUUGGGACAAGGUUCUAAAAUAGCAUUAGAUCACCUUCCUGGCUGUCUCUCAUGAUUCCUCUCCUUUUAGAAUUAUAUUUUGCAAAUUCUUAAAUGGCGGAGAUGAAUUAGAGGAAAGUUGGGGGGUAGUAGUGAGAUGAGCGGGUAACAUAUUAUUGAAUUUUAUUUUAGGUACUGUAAACCUUCAUGGAAGCCAUUGAUCCAGUUUCAUCUCUGUGCAUUCCCAUUCAAAACUAAUCAGAUUUUGCAAGUUUCAUACACUAAAAAUUAAAAUUUGGAUUUGCCUGACGUGCAAAGUUCUAAAAUAGCAUUAGACUACUCUGAUAAAGUUUAUAUCUUUGUUCAUUAUGUUUU
This 441-nucleotide unclassified non-coding RNA is filed under the name Hevea brasiliensis (rubber tree). The record is from RNAcentral. Lineage: Eukaryota; Viridiplantae; Streptophyta; Magnoliopsida; Malpighiales; Euphorbiaceae.